This 497-nucleotide ribosomal RNA is filed under the name uncultured bacterium. RNAcentral's name for it is "partial 16S ribosomal RNA". It matches the Rfam family "Bacterial small subunit ribosomal RNA", at positions 28 to 507 of the family's 1533-position model. The record is from RNAcentral.
GAUGAACGCUGGCGGCGUGCCUAAUACAUGCAAGUCGAGCGAACAGACGAUGAGCUUGCUCCUCUGACGUUAGCGGCGGACGGGUGAGUAACACGUGGAUAACCUACCUAUAAGACUGGGAUAACUUCGGGAAACCGGAGCUAAUACCGGAUAAUAUAUUGAACCGCAUGGUUCAAUAGUGAAAGACGGUUUUGCGGUCACGUAUAGAUGGAUCCGCGCCGCAUUAUCUGGUUGGGCAGGUAACGGCUUACCAAGGCAACGAGGCGUAACCGACCUGAGAGGGUGGUAGGCCACCCUGGAACUGGACCACCGUCCAGACUCCUACGGGAGGCCGCAGUCGGGUAUCUUCCGCAAUGGGCGAGAGCCUGACGGAGCAACGCCGCGCGAGUUGUGACGGUCUUCGGAUCGUAAAACUCUGUUAUUAGUGAAGAACAAAUGUGUAAGUAACUAUGCACGUCUUGACGGUACCUAAUCAGAAAGCCACGGCUAACUACGUG